UUGAAGAAUUUAAAGAUUGAACUUGAUUUUAAAGGAUUUGAAGACUUCAACUUGCAAGCUUAAAGAAUUUGAAGACUUCAACU
This 83-nucleotide microRNA precursor is filed under the name Solanum lycopersicum (tomato). Its description in RNAcentral is "MIR8024 microRNA precursor family". It matches the Rfam family "MIR8024 microRNA precursor family". The record is from Rfam by way of RNAcentral. Lineage: Eukaryota; Viridiplantae; Streptophyta; Magnoliopsida; Solanales; Solanaceae.